RNAcentral lists this ribosomal RNA (497 nucleotides) under uncultured bacterium. RNAcentral describes it as "partial 16S ribosomal RNA". It matches the Rfam family "Bacterial small subunit ribosomal RNA", at positions 28 to 507 of the family's 1533-position model. The record is from RNAcentral.
GAUGAACGCUGGCGGCGUGCCUAAUACAUGCAAGUCGAGCGAACAGACGAGGAGCUUGCUCCUCUGACGUUAGCGGCGGACGGGUGAGUAACACGUGGAUAACCUACCUAUAAGACUGGGAUAACUUCGGGAAACCGGAGCUAAUACCGGAUAAUAUAUUGAACCGCAUGGUUCAAUAGUGAAAGACGGUUUUGCUGUCACUUAUAGAUGGAUCCGCGCCGCAUUAGCUAAUUGGUAAGGUAACGGCUUACCAAGGCAACGAUGCGUAGCCGACCUGAGAGGGUGAUCGGCCACACUGGAACUGAGACACGGUCCAGACUCCUACGGGAGGCAGCAGUAGGGAAUCUUCCGCAAUGGGCGAAAGCCUGACGGAGCAACGCCGCGUGAAUGAUGAAGGUCUUCGGAUCGUAAAACUCUGUUAUUAGGGAAGAACAAAUGUGUAAGUAACUAUGCACGUCUUGACGGUACCUAAUCAGAAAGCCACGGCUAACUACGUG